Molecule: ribosomal RNA, 628 nt
Filed under: Massilia varians
Lineage: Bacteria; Pseudomonadati; Pseudomonadota; Betaproteobacteria; Burkholderiales; Oxalobacteraceae
Description: bacterial SSU rRNA
Rfam family: Bacterial small subunit ribosomal RNA
Source: RNAcentral
GGCGAGUGGCGAACGGGUGAGUAAUACAUCGGAACGUACCCAGAAGUGGGGGAUAACGCAGCGAAAGUUGCGCUAAUACCGCAUACGUUCUACGGAAGAAAGUGGGGGAUCUUCGGACCUCAUGCUUUUGGAGCGGCCGAUGUCUGAUUAGCUAGUUGGUGGGGUAAAGGCUCACCAAGGCGACGAUCAGUAGCUGGUCUGAGAGGACGACCAGCCACACUGGAACUGAGACACGGUCCAGACUCCUACGGGAGGCAGCAGUGGGGAAUUUUGGACAAUGGGCGCAAGCCUGAUCCAGCAAUGCCGCGUGAGUGAAGAAGGCCUUCGGGUUGUAAAGCUCUUUUGUCAGGGAAGAAACGGCUCCGGCUAAUAUCUGGAGCUAAUGACGGUACCUGAAGAAUAAGCACCGGCUAACUACGUGCCAGCAGCCGCGGUAAUACGUAGGGUGCAAGCGUUAAUCGGAAUUACUGGGCGUAAAGCGUGCGCAGGCGGUUUUGUAAGUCUGUCGUGAAAGCCCCGGGCUCAACCUGGGAAUUGCGAUGGAGACUGCAAGGCUUGAAUCUGGCAGAGGGGGGUAGAAUUCCACGUGUAGCAGCGAAAUGCGUAGAGAUGUGGAGGAACACCGAUG